GGUCAUGGCUCAGUGGUAGACUGCUCGUCUGGCACGUGUGAGGCACUGGGUUCAAUCCUCAGAACCA
Molecule: transfer RNA, 67 nt
Filed under: Marmota monax (woodchuck)
Lineage: Eukaryota; Metazoa; Chordata; Mammalia; Rodentia; Sciuridae
Description: tRNA.Ala
Source: RNAcentral